CCUACGGGCGGCAGCAGUCGAGAAUCAUUCACAAUGGGGGAAACCCUGAUGGUGCGACGCCGCGUGGGGGAAUGAAGGUCUUCGGAUUGUAAACCCCUGUCAUGUGGGAGCAAAUUAAAAAGAUAGUACCACAAGAGGAAGAGACGGCUAACUCUGUGCAAGCAGCCGCGGUAAUACAGAGGUCUCAAGCGUUGUUCGGAAUCACUGGGCGUAAAGCGUGCGUAGACUGUUUCGUAAGUCGUGUGUGAAAGGCGCGGGCUCAACCCGCGGACGGCACAUGAUACUGCGAGACUAGAGUAAUGGAGGGGGAACCGGAAUGCUCGGUGUAGCAGUGAAAUGCGGAGAUAUCGAGAGGAACACUCGUGGCGAAGGCGGGUUCCUGGACAUUAACUGACGCUGAGGCACGAAGGCCAGGGGAGCGAAAGGGAUUAGAUACCCGAGUAGUC
This 446-nucleotide ribosomal RNA is filed under the name uncultured bacterium. RNAcentral describes it as "partial 16S ribosomal RNA". It matches the Rfam family "Bacterial small subunit ribosomal RNA", at positions 338 to 795 of the family's 1533-position model. The record is from RNAcentral.